GCAGAAGUGGUGGAACGGCAGACACGCUGUCUUCAGGCGGCAGUGGGAGCAAUCCCGUGAGAGUUCAAAUCUCUUCUUCUGCACCA
RNAcentral lists this transfer RNA (86 nucleotides) under Eubacterium sp. Its description in RNAcentral is "tRNA-Leu". It matches the Rfam family "tRNA". Rfam says of the family: Transfer RNA (tRNA) molecules are approximately 80 nucleotides in length. Their secondary structure includes four short double-helical elements and three loops (D, anti-codon, and T loops). The record is from RNAcentral. Lineage: Bacteria; Bacillati; Bacillota; Clostridia; Eubacteriales; Eubacteriaceae. RNAcentral also lists the same sequence under 8 other names.